This is a long non-coding RNA of Coffea arabica (coffee), 665 nucleotides long. RefSeq lists it as uncharacterized. The record is from RefSeq and is a predicted model, not a curated record. NCBI's taxonomy places the organism in Eukaryota, Viridiplantae, Streptophyta, Magnoliopsida, Gentianales, Rubiaceae.
GAGGUGAGAAACAAGUUAUUUCUUAAAAACCUUGGUGGGGUUCUUCCAAGCUCGUCGCAGGCCAAUUUGAUGUGAUUUGCUAAGCUUAGGCACUUGAUCUAGUUUUCAGCUUCAAAUUGGUCUGUUGAUACACACCUUUGAAUUAGUUUUGCUAUAUCCUCAAUUGCAGGGAAGAACUUCCAGUCUGAAUGUUUCAUCUGUUAAAUUGUCUGAAAAUUCGGUAUCUGCUGGACGAAGCACACCACCUGUUCGAUCAAAUGCCUAAGAGGAAGAUGAAUCAAACUGUAAGACGUUGGACCCUAACUUCUACCAAGGCUAUGAUUUGAUGUCUUCAAGUUCAAUAGCACAACAGCAUGCAUCAAUAAGUUUUGUCCAAGCGCAAGAACUUGAAAAUAAUGAUGAUUCUGAUCAACAAGUUGUUGAAAAUGGGAAAAUUGAAUGAAGAUGCUUAUGAAGAAAUGGAGGACAAGACUGUGGGAUUGCGCUCAUGGAUUAAUUAGACCUUUAAGUGGAAUAAUACUUUGUGCUUAUACUUAUUGAUUUUGAUAUUUUUGUUCAAAUAUCUGUUAAUAAACGUUCUUCUGACUAAACUGUAGAACAUGAGAUAUAUUAGUUGAGCUGCCCUGGAUUCUUGAUGCAUACAAGAAAUCGUCUUUUGAAUGUUC